Molecule: long non-coding RNA, 957 nt
Filed under: Neodiprion lecontei (redheaded pine sawfly)
Lineage: Eukaryota; Metazoa; Arthropoda; Insecta; Hymenoptera; Diprionidae
Description: uncharacterized LOC124294231
Source: RNAcentral
CCCGUGAACCACCAGGCUGUAAACAUCGGCAGGCCGGCGAGACGGAGGGACGGUUGCAUACACGACACGUACACAUAGUUCUAGUUCUCUCGCAUUUCGUAGCGCAGGUAGCCACGGGGCACGUCGUGCGCACCAGGUAACGCGAGCGAAUAACGAGGGCAGUGGAGGACCAUUUAUUUUUCCAAUUAAAAGAGGAUAAGAAGCACCGCACGGUUUCCGAGGACGACAACGGAGGCGUUCGAUCAGAUUAGAAAACGGGAGUUUUUAUUAAAUUUACCUAUCGAGUUGUCGAAUAAUUUCCAUCGACGUUUAUAAAUCACUUACAGGAAUGCAGUCCCUGAAGGUAAAAAUAAUCCGUACUCAAGGGUGGCUCCAAGGGAUGGCCAGUUUUUAGGCACCAGCCCAUCGGGUGAAUGUCAGGUGCAUCGUCGUCAAUCCAAUAGGCAUGGUGUUCAGGCCAACCAUCGAAACGAAUUUUCAACCUGGAUAUUAAAAGGAACAGUGACAAUUUCUCCAAACAAGUACUUGGGAGUUCCUCGAAUCAACGCAGUCGUACUUACACGUGAUCUUUGACGUCCUCGACAGUCGCGACUCUGAUCAAUUGAGGUACUCGUUUGUCUACAGCUUCCAAUUUCAUGCCACGUUUGAAUCCACAGGGUGGACGCUGUUUGAAGGCUCUUGCUGGUGCAGCCACCGAUCUGGUCUCUCUAAGUACAGGAGACAUCUGGGACAAUGAAGAGGUUUACUAUUUGGUGGUGUAAGACUGUGCCCGUUGUGAUGACACCAACCGACGGGAUGGAUGUAGGGCGAACUCGCGUCUGCCCAAUAGUCAUAUACUUCAUCCCAAGAAUCAAAGUGAACCAAUAUUCGCGAAUCCAUUAGCUCUGCAAUACUGGCAACACAUACUAGCGAGGAAUGCUUUCUGUCCACAGCUUCAAGCUUCAUGCCUUGUCGAAA